This 4215-nucleotide unclassified non-coding RNA is filed under the name Leishmania donovani. RNAcentral describes it as "gene:LdHU3.34.1020(CDS-product:nuclear_cap_bindin g_complex_subunit_CBP110_putative)". The record is from RNAcentral. Lineage: Eukaryota; Euglenozoa; Kinetoplastea; Trypanosomatida; Trypanosomatidae.
CGCCUCUCGCGAAGCGCCCAUCCCUCAGCUAAGCGCGGCACUCUUAGGUUUUUUGUUGCUUGUGUGCGCAUUUUCUUCUCCAGCCUGUCGCAUCCCCCCAUAGACCACCGCACGCAUUGGCUCGCACGCCGGCACAGAUCUCAAGAGCUCGAUCCAGCUGCGCAAUCGGCGUGUUGCGGCAAUGUCAUCGCAUAAUAGUUUCCAUGACGCCGGCGGUGGGCAUGAGCACUCGCUCCUGCUAGUAUUGCAAGCCACGGUGAAGAAUUCACUAUGGCACUUGGCCUUCUUCCCUGCGCUGCGGCCCAGCUCGCACAUCGUGUCAGCUGUCAAGGCGCAUUCCUCGACGUCGUCAAAAGCGGCGGAUAACAGCGUGGUUGUGAGUGCCCUUCACAGCCUGGCGCUGUUGGAGGCGGUGGGCUACACAGAGGCUGGCCACACGGCUCGGCGGCUGUGGCGAGCGCACGCCUUUGGCUCAACGUUUUCUCUAUCUCAGCACCUCGUGUCCGCGGAGCAGUGGAGCUGGGUCGACAAGCUGCGCGUCACGGCGCUUCGUCAUGCAGAGGAUCUCUCCUCCACACUCGGCAGCGGAGAAGGUGUGUUGGCCACUCUGCUGGCAGAGGCGCAGAAGUUGAAUAAGCAAGAUAAACAGACGACGGCGUGCGACGCACUUUUUUCGGAACUGGCUCACGACUACCUCGAGCACAUUGCAACCGCGACCUCGGCCACGAGCACGGUACACGCGUCUAAGCCAGCUGCUUCAGCAGAGUCGAACCUUGGAGUCCCGCGGCGCCGCACAACUUCGAUCUUCCAGUACGAAGUUCUGCCCGCACAGGCAGCUGCGGCGCGGCAGCGACGGCAGUGGUACGAAGCACGCCUGUACGCUGCUGUUGCGUGUAGCACAAGCAUCUCGACCCCUGGACCGCUAGCACGACUCCUUGUCGCCUACGCCCAUCAAGGCGAUCGUCGACUGCAAGUUGCAGCAGGCACAAACCUUGAAUGCUAUAUCGGCGGAGAUCAUAAUGGCGAAAAGACGAAGGAGGGGGGCAACGCAGCCCCAGUCACGAGCGUGGCCACCGAUACUGCAGCUGCCGCCCUUGCUCGGGUGCGUCUCAGCGGUGUGGUGGCUGGUGUCGUGGAGUAUGCACUGUGCGUGGCUCGGGUGCGCACCGCCGUCGCGGUGGCCGAGCUUCGUGCCUCCGCCUCGGCUGUGAACGCGUCACCGGAGCAGCCUCCGCCGUGCACGGUGCCGACGUCGUGUGCCGUCGCCCACGUGCCUCACAGCGCUGCCCUGCUACUCAGCCUUAUAACAGAAGAGUGCAGCUACUAUCAGCAAACAGCGCCGGCCGGCACCGGUGGCGGGGAGGUGGGAGUCACCGCAGCGGUGCUGCACGCCGUGCAAGAGCUGCUCUUCACAGUUGUUCUUGGGGGUGGCACGCAGCACAUGCACAACAGGCCUGAGCCGCCAGCCCCGCCGAAGAGGCCAGGCGCAGAUGGAGGCGGUGGCGCCAGCGUGACGCCAGUGGUGAUGGCCAUGUCGACCACCCGCGGCGUGACACUGCCGGAGGCGGAUGCCAUCGCGCAGGAGUUUUUCCCUGCCCUCGUGCAGCAGCUCGGCAUGGAGUGGGUGUGGUCGCCGCUGCUGCGGCACUUGGCGAGCCUAGACAAGUCCCAGGUGUCCGCAGAGGCAAUCGACGCGCGAGCAGGCUCGACGCCCGUGUCGUCUCUGAGCGUGCGGUGGAGCAGCCACGUGCUCAUGGACACCAUUCUUCUGUCCCUCUCCCGAAAGACGUAUCCGCAGCGUCUCCUAAACGUUCUUCCCGGCAGCUACGAGCGUCUCCUCAGCAACUUGGAUCUACUGCCCCAAAUACGUCCGCGGGGCGACGACGGUGACGAUGCCGGUAAGGGUGACGCGGCGCGCCGUGCGAGUGGUCCGUUGCUGUUCGGCAUGCCCGCCUACUACGCUGAGCCGGCAUCUGCCCUGGUUGCGUACUUUCAGCGCGCCGGCGUGUCUGGGUUGCGAAUAGAAGAAACGGAGCGCAUCCUAACGACUGCCACGAGUAUACAUGCAAUGGUCGUGCGACUUCGAGCACAGGCGCCUUCGAGGCAUGACGCGGACGGGCGCGAGGACGGCGCCGAUGAUCGAAGUGGCGAAGAGCUGGACGGCAACGGUAAAAGCUGCGUUGCCUCUCUUUACUACCAUAAUAAAACGAGGGCCACGCCGCACGCCUACGCACUGACACACGAACGUGUCGAGCAUCUUAUCACGCGCUAUCAGGGUGAGGUGCUCCUUGCCGCUGUCGUCGUGCACACCCAGUUGCGUGUGCCGAGCCAGGUACAGCAGCUCAUGCGCGUGCUUGCGCCGCUAUUCUUGAAGAUACACCUGGCAUGGCGCACCCAUCACGACGGCAGCAGUGCCUCCUGGCUACUUCAGCCUCGCACGGACCCCAGCGUGACCGGUACGACACCCAGCGCCGCGCGCUUCAGCGCAGAAGCGGCGGUGCUGCUGGAUGAAGUGGGGUACGAGUUUUAUCCCCUCGAGUGGUUGCCCGCUGCGUUGGCCGCAAGCACCGCGACAAGCGACUCAUCUGUCGAACGCCUCGCCUUCCCCUACUCUCUGUUGGCCGCUGUAGGUCACCAGUUUCAGCUGCAGCUGCGCGGCAUCCCCCUAGGGAGCAGCGGAGACGUCACCCUUCGCCACCCUGCUGGUCCUCGGACGUCCGCCGUGAUGCCGUCGGUGGGCGGAGCGGCUCUCAUUGCCAGCUGCAGGGGUGGGGACGAGGAGGAGACCAAGUCCACUGCCGCGGCGUGGCGCAGGACCGAGCGCUUUGUGACGGGGCUCAUGCAACUCUGCUACCUCGACCCCAAAACAUCCUCGACAGAGCUGGAGGGGACGCUGGCGGUGUCGUCUACCAGGCGCGUCUUGACAACGAGCGGCGGAAGUGCCACGCUGGGCUCUAGUGGCGGUGGUAGCUCAGCCCUUGGCGUUCGCGGCAGUCGGGCGAACGUGAUUGCAGCGGCCGAUGUUGCAUCGCACCGCCUACGCUCCCUGGUGCUGCAGCCGGCGGUGAUGGACGCCAUGUGGGGCUCAAUGGAGAACACUGCUAUCACCAGGGGCAACGGGGCGUCGCAGCGGUACGGCGAGCGGCGUGAGAAGCGGUCACGGUCGGUGUCCGCCUCAGCAGAGGCACAAGAGCACCUUCGAUCGAUGCAGCAGCUGCUGCAGGAGUAUGGUGCCGCCUCCUUCGACACAACGGUGGAAGCCGCAGACUUUGCCCUCAUGAUUGCACAGGCCUUCCUGCCUCUCUCUGUCGGCACAAGUGCCUCACUUUCCUCCGCAUCAGGCAAAGCAGGCCCGGCCGCCUCGGCAGGGAAGAAGAGCGAGGCGCUUCUGCGUGCUGGACUGGGAUGGGGUAGUGCGGUGGUGGGACACGCUGCCACCAAGGCGAGGGUGCACAUGCAGCUUCAGCAGCAGCAGAAGGGAGGUGUCUCGUCAUUUUCGGCGGCGCUUGCGCAUGUCUACAACAGUGCCACGGUAGACACGGCGUGGCUCGCGCGGAGCGCACUGCGGUACGUCCCACAGCGCAUCUGGGAAAAAAUGUGUGCCCAUCGAGCCGAGAGGCUUGCCCUGGUUCAUCGGCACAGCAAGUGGGUCUCACGCCUCCUCGGAGAUUUGCCCACCGCUUCGGAAGCGAAGCAAUGCGACGUUGGCGAUGCGCACCGCGUCGACCCGCUGCUGGUGGCGCAGUGGACGCAGUGGGAACGUGUGUUGGAGCAGCUAGGGCUCUCUGAGCACCUUGAAGGCAGUUCAGCCGCGGCGGCAAGCGCGAUGCCUCGCCUAUCACCUUUCUCAGCAGAGGAUAUCACAUGUGCGCAGUGGUUGUGGUACUCGCCGUACUUCGCGGCAGAGAUGGCGCCCUAAGAGCUGCGGGUGUCGAGGAAGCCCUGGCUGGCCUACUCGGGUUGCUUCUGCCGUGGCAUUGUGUGGUGAUUUUCUUCUUGCUCCUAUGGGAGGGCGGCUCAUAACGUUCCAGGCUGCCGUCCCCCGCCCGCCUGCACCGCUUAUCAGCAAAGAGCCGCUCCCUAUCGUGACCGUGCGCUUCUUACCUGAGAACACUGUGAAGGAGCUUAGGAAGGAGAUGAAAUCUGGAAUGAGGCGCUGGUGUGCCUCUCCACUGCCUCCUGCUCCGCCUCACUCACCGUGCAUGAGAUGAACGC